RNAcentral lists this unclassified non-coding RNA (208 nucleotides) under Hevea brasiliensis (rubber tree). The record is from RNAcentral. Lineage: Eukaryota; Viridiplantae; Streptophyta; Magnoliopsida; Malpighiales; Euphorbiaceae.
GAGGAAAGGAAGUGUAAAACAAUCGACUGCUGAGGAUGAGAGAAAAGACAUCAAUGAACUGGCGGAUGCUUUCAUCAAGAAAUUCCACAAUCAACUAAAAAUUCAGUAUGGAGAGUUAAUCAAGCCUUAGCAGAAGAUGAUAGCACAAGAAGCUUCAAAUUUAUCUGUGUCGACUGAAUGGGAAUGUUGUUGCAGAGUAGAAUGUGUU